GACGAACGCUGGCGGCGUGCUUAACACAUGCAAGUCGAGCGGUAAGGCCCUUUCGGGGGUACACGAGCGGCGAACGGGUGAGUAACACGUGGGUGACCUGCCCCUCAGCUCUGGGAUAAGCCUGGGAAACCGGGUCUAAUACUGGAUAUGACUCCAUGACGCAUGUUGUGGGGUGGAAAGCCUUGUGCGGCUGAGGAUGGGCCCGCAGCCUAUCAGCUUGUUGGUGGGGUGAUGGCCUACCCAAGGCGACGACGGGUAGCCGGCCUGAGAGGGCGACCGGCCACACUGGGACUGAGACACGGCCCAGACUCCUACGGGAGGCAGCAGUGGGGAAUCUUGCGC
This 342-nucleotide ribosomal RNA is filed under the name uncultured bacterium. RNAcentral describes it as "bacterial SSU rRNA". It matches the Rfam family "Bacterial small subunit ribosomal RNA", at positions 28 to 369 of the family's 1533-position model. The record is from RNAcentral.